AUGCAUGUCUAAGUACAUACUUUUACAUAGUGAAACCGCGAAUGGCUCAUUAAAUCAGUUAUGGUUCCUUAGAUCGUACAAUCCUACUUGGAUAACUGUGGUAAUUCUAGAGCUAAUACAUGAAGCACGGCUCUGACCUCGCGGAAAGAGCGCGUUUAUUAGAUCAAAACCAGUCGGGUCCGCAAGGGCCCGUCGGAUUGGUGAGACUGGAUAACUUUGUGCUGAUCGCACGGCCUCGCGCCGGCGACGUAUCUUUCAAAUGUCUGCCCUAUCAACUUUCGAUGGUACGUGAUAUGCCUACCAUGGUUGUAACGGGUAACGGGGAAUCAGGGUUCGAUUCCGGAGAGGGAGCAUGAGAAACGGCUACCACAUC
RNAcentral lists this ribosomal RNA (373 nucleotides) under Mytilus edulis (blue mussel). Its description in RNAcentral is "SSU rRNA". It matches the Rfam family "Eukaryotic small subunit ribosomal RNA", at positions 51 to 416 of the family's 1831-position model. Lineage: Eukaryota; Metazoa; Mollusca; Bivalvia; Mytilida; Mytilidae. The record is from RNAcentral.